GCCUGGCUAGCUCAGUUGGUAUAGUAUGGGACUCUUAAUCUCAGGAACAUAGGUUUAAGCCCCAAGCUGGGCG
RNAcentral lists this transfer RNA (73 nucleotides) under Pangasianodon hypophthalmus (striped catfish). It matches the Rfam family "tRNA". From Rfam's summary of the family: Transfer RNA (tRNA) molecules are approximately 80 nucleotides in length. Their secondary structure includes four short double-helical elements and three loops (D, anti-codon, and T loops). The record is from Rfam by way of RNAcentral. Lineage: Eukaryota; Metazoa; Chordata; Actinopteri; Siluriformes; Pangasiidae.